Molecule: RNA transcript, 4106 nt
Organism: Trichomycterus rosablanca
Lineage: Eukaryota; Metazoa; Chordata; Actinopteri; Siluriformes; Trichomycteridae
Gene name: NACHT, LRR and PYD domains-containing protein 14-like
Exons: 11
Source: RefSeq, a predicted model, not a curated record
AAGUAUUUAGUGUGGAGGAGAGAAACGUGAAGAGGUUUUCCAGAUAAUCGCGUGUUACUCCAGUGUGAUGGAGGGUACGAGACCAGAUUCACCUGAACCCAGCUGUGUCUCCAUGAAGAGCGACCGGUCAAUGGAGCUUCCAAUUCACUUUAAAGAUGGAGGAUGUUCUACUGAUCUGAGUGUGAUGGAGGGUAGGAGACCAGAUUCACCUGAACCCAGCUGUGUCUCCAUGAAGAGUGACCGGUCAAUAGAUAAUCCACAAAACUUUAAAGAUGGAGGAUGUUCUACUGAUCUGAGAACACAAAAGAAGAAAUUAAAUGUUACUUAUCAGUUGGAAUCCAUAUUUAAGGAACUGGAGCUCAAAGUCAUCAGCAUGUUAAAGAAUGAGCUAAACAAGUUCAAAAAGCUACUGAAUGAAGAUUACCCAGCAUGCUCUGAGCAGGAGGUAAAGGAUGUGGAAGAUCCGAGUAGUUUCAGAGAGGGGGCGCUAAAGAUCACACUAAAUGUUCUGAAGAUCAUGAACCAGACAGACCUCGCUAACACCCUGCAGAGGAAACUAUUAGUCCCUGCAUAUCAGAAAAAACUCAAAUCCAAUCUGAGAGAAAAAUUUAAAAGAAUCAGUGAAGGAAUCUCCCAGCAUGGAAGCUCAGCACUUCUGAAUGAGAUCUUCACAGAGCUCUACAUCACAGAGGGUUGGAGUGAAGGUGUCAAUAAAGAACAUGAGGUCAGACAGAUUGAAGCUACAUCCAGGAGACCAGCAGUACAGGAGAUUUCCAUCAAAUGCACUGACCUCUUUAAAGACGCGUCCAUCAGAACUGUGCUGACUAAAGGAAUCGCUGGAAUUGGAAAAACAGUCUCAGUGCAGAAGUUCAUUCUGGACUGGGCUGAAGGGAAAGCCAAUCAGGACGUUGUCUUCAUAUUUCCACUUCCUUUUAGAGAGCUGAACUUGAUGAAGCAGGAAAACCUCAGUCUGAUGGAACUUCUUCAUCAGUUUUUCCCAGAAGUGAAAGGUCUGCCAUCAUUAGACUGUGAUGCUUAUAAAGUUUUGUUCAUCUUUGAUGGUCUGGAUGAGUGUCGACUUCCUCUAGAUUUUCAAAAUAAUGAGCGAUUGUGUAACAUAACAAAGUCAGUAAAAAUGGAUGUGCUGCUGACAAACCUCAUCAAGGGGAACCUGCUUCCCUCUGCUCUCCUCUGGAUCACCACUCGACCAGGAGCAGCCAAUCAGAUCCCUACUGAGUGUGAAGCCCAGGUAACAGAGGUACGAGGGUUCAGUGACCCUCAGAAAGAGGAGUACUUCAAGAAGAGGAUCAGUGAUGAGAACCUGGCCAGAAAAAUCAUCACUCACAUGAAGUCAUCAAGAAGCCUCUACAUCAUGUGUCACAUUCCAGUUUUCUGCUGGAUCUCAGCCUCUGUUCUAGAGAGAAUUCUGGGUGGAGCCGAGGGGAAAGAGAUCCCCAAAACUCUGACUCAAAUGUUCACUUACUUUCUGAUCUUUCAGAUAAAACACAAGGAACAAAAGUACCAUGGGAAAUCUGACCCUGAUCCACACCAGACCAGUGAGAUGAUACUGUCACUGGGAAAACUGGCCUUCCAACAGAUGGAGAAAAGAAACCUGAUCUUCUAUAAAGAAGACCUGACAGAAUGUGGCAUCAAUGUUAAAAACACAUCAGUGUACUCAGGAGUCUGUACCCAGAUCUUCAAAAAAGAGGCUGGUCUGCACAUAGGUCAGGUCUUCAGCUUUGUGCACCUGAGUGUUCAGGAGUUUCUGUCUGCUUUAUAUGUAUUUCUCACCUUCAUCAACAAAAACAGAAAUGUGCUGGUGAUACAAAACACUGGAUUAUUUAACAUCUUUAGAAACUAUACAAACAUGUCUGACUUUCUGAAGAGUGCAGUGGACAAGGCCUUACAGAGUAAGAAUGGACACCUGGAUCUUUUCCUCCGCUUCCUCCUGGGUCUCUCACUGGAGUCCAAUCAGACUCUCUUACGAGACCUACUGACACAAACAGGAAGUAGCUCUUACAACAAAGAGGAAACAGUCAGGUACAUCAAGAAGAAGAUCAGUGAGAAUCCCUCUCCAGAGAAAUCCAUCAAUCUGUUCCACUGUCUGAAUGAACUGAACGAUGAUUCUCUAGUGCAGGAAGUCCAACAAUACCUGAACAGAGAAGGUUCUGUUCAUCAUGAUGGACUCCGUCUGUCUCCUGCUCAGUGGUCGGCUCUGGUGUUUGUGUUGCUGAACUCAGAUCAGAAGCUGGAUGAGUUUUAUUUGAGGAAAUAUUAUCCAUCACAUGAAGGUCUUCUGAAGCUCCUGCCAGUGGUGAAAGAAUCAAGAAGAGCUGAGUUGUGGAAGUGUGAUCUAACAGAGGAAAGUUGUGAAGUUCUGUCCUCAGUUCUCAGUUUAAACUCCUCCAGUCUGAAACAUCUGGACCUGAGUAACAAUAAACUGAAGGAUUCAGGAGUGAAGCUGCUCUCUGCUGGACUGGAGAAUCCACACUGUACACUGGAGAUACUGGAGUUGGCUGGUUGUUCUCUAACAGAGGAAAGUUGUGAAGUUCUGUCCUCAGUUCUCAGUUUAAACUCCUCCAGUCUGAAACAUCUGAACCUGAGUAACAAUAAACUGAAGGAUUCAGGAGUGAAGCUGCUCUCUGCUGGACUGGAGAAUCCACACUGUAAACUGGAGAUACUGGAGUUGAGGAGCUGCAGUAUUACAGAUGAAGGUUUUACUGCUCUGGCUUCAGCUCUGAAAUCAAAUCCAUCAUCACGUCUGAGAGAACUGCAACUGAUCAACAAUAAUCCAGGAGAAUCAGGAGUAAAACUGCUCAAAGAUCUACAGGUGGAUCCACAAUGUAACCUGAAGAAACUACACGUCUGAUUCUAACACAUAUUGAAUUGUAAGAAGAUGAAGAGCAGUGAAGAUAAACACCAUCUACUCUUCACACUGAGAUUCUACAUGUGAUGCAAUUUGUCAGAGUGGAGUGAAGUUCAGUAUUAAUGGAUUUGGAGGAGAUGUAAAGCUGAAUAUCAUCAGCAUAGCAGUGGAAAUGUAAACCAUGCCGACGUAUGAUGUCACCAAGGGGGAGCAUAUAAAGAAUAAACAAAAGGGGACCUAACACUGAGCCUUGGGGAACGCCUUGGGACAGUGGAGCAAUGGCAGAACUACAAUUGUUGAUAUUAACAAACUGUUGUCUGUUUACGAGAUAUGACCUUAACCACAAAAGGGCAGUACCAGUGAUGUUGACAGAGGAUUCAAGGCGGGACAGAAGAAUGGAGUGAUUAAUGGUGUCAAAAGCUGCAGUAAGAUCAAGGAGGACGAGAAUAUUAAUUUGUCCAGAGUCUGACUUUGUUCAGCUUCUUUAUGUUCUAAUCUGUAAACUGUCAUGACAUCACUUCCUGCACAAGAUCAACACUCUUAAACCCACUCUGAAGUGCUGAUGGACCUUCAUCAGCUCCUUCUGUACAUCAGUACUGUGUAUAGUGCAGUACACAGUGCAGUAAGACUGGAGAGUCCAUCAGGUUACUGCUACUAGCAGUAUUAAUCUGGUAGACUGAAUGCUGAGUAUCUGGUACAGGUGAGUUAGGAGCUGUGAAACAGCUUGAUGCAUUAGCAUGCUGUUCACUAUCUGGCCUGUAAUGAAGUUUAAAUAAGUUUAAAGCUACUGGAGAUGUUGAGAUUCUGCCAGGACGAGAACAUGAGGAGGAUUACUCGAAAUCAGAACAUUUCUCUACAGAACCACAAGAUGUUUAGAAGGCUGGCUGAAGAAAGGCUCUUCUGUAUGAUUCUCACCCUGGAACUUGGCAAGGGACCUUGUUACAAAAGACAUCAAACAGUAGAGGUCCUGGGUUGAGGGGUACAUAAUCAGACCACAGUUUUGUACAGGCUAUUACCCACAAUCCACUGUGAUGUUUUUUUACAAGCACAGGUUUCCAUACACCAGAGCGCUUGAGGUUCCUCAGCGGCUUCACCUGCUGCACAUGCGCUGUUGGACCGAGCCGGUAAACUUGGACUGUUCACUCUGCGCAUGUGUAAACUUUCUCAGCACUUUUUAAACUGCUUAUUUAUGUAAAUACAGACUGUAAGACAAAUAUCAUUAAAACUUCACAUCAAGAAA